Molecule: ribosomal RNA, 1593 nt
Rfam family: Bacterial large subunit ribosomal RNA
Source: Rfam
GGUCAAGCGACUAAGUGCACACGGUGGAUGCCUUGGCAGUUAGAGGCGAUGAAAGACGUAGGAGCCUGCGAUAAGGUGAGGGGAGCCGGCAAACAUGCUUUGAUCCUCACAUUUCUGAAUGGGGAAACCCACCUAUUUAUAGGUAUCGUGCACUGAAUACAUAGGUGUACGAGGCGAACGAGGGGAACUGAAACAUCUAAGUACCCUUAGGAAAAGAAAUCAACCGAGAUUCCCUUAGUAGCGGCGAGCGAAAGGGGACCAGCCGAUUGAGAAUGUUGUUAGUAGAAGGCUCUGGAAAGUGCCGCGAUAGAGGGUGAUAGUCCCGUAUACGAAAACGCAUUUUUGACACAUUAAGUAGGGCGGAACACGUGUUAUUCUGUCUGAAGAUGGGGGGACCAUCCUCCAAGGCUAAAUACUCCUAACUGACCGAUAGUGAACCAGUACCGUGAGGGAAAGGCGAAAAGAACCCCUGUGAGGGGAGUGAAAUAGAUCCUGAAACCGUGUGCGUACAAGCAGUAGGAGCAGACUUGUUCUGUGACUGCGUACCUUUUGUAUAAUGGGUCAGCGACUUAUUGUUAGUGGCAAGGUUAACCGACUAGGGGAGCCGUAGAGAAAUCGAGUCUUAAUAGGGCGCGAGUCGCUAGCAAUAGACCCGAAACCGGGCGAUCUACCCAUGGCCAGUGUGAAGGUUAGGUAACACUGACUGGAGGCGCGAACUCACGUAUGUUGAAAAAUGCGGAGAUGAGCUGUGGGUCGGAGUGAAAGGCUAAUCAAGCCCGGAGAUAGCUGGUUCUCCCCGAAAACUAUUUAGGUAGUGCGUCAUGUCUUACCCUCGGGGGUAGAGCACUGUUUCGGCUAGGGGGUCAUCCCGACUUACCAACCCGAUGCAAACUCCGAAUACCGAGGAGUACAAUCAUGGCAGACACACAGCGGGUGCUAACGUCCGUUGUGAAGAGGGAAACAACCCAGACCGCCAGCUAAGGUCCCAAAUGUUAAUUAAGUGGGAAACGAUGUGGGAAGGCUUAGACAGCUAGGAGGUUGGCUUAGAAGCAGCCACCCUUUAAAGAAAGCGUAAUAGCUCACUAGUCGAGUCGGCCUGCGCGGAAGAUGUAACGGGGCUAAAUUAGCAACCGAAGCUGCGGAUGCACAUUGUGCAUGGUAGGGGAGCGUUCUGUAAGCCGUUGAAGGUGACUUGAGAAGGUUGCUGGAGGUAUCAGAAGUGCGAAUGCUGACAUGAGUAACGAUAAGGGGAGUGAAAAACUCCCCCGCCGGAAGAUCAAGGUUUCCUGUCCAACGUUAAUCGGGACAGGGUUAGUCGGCCCCUAAGGCGAGGCAGAAAUGCGUAGUCGAUGGGAAACAGGUUAAUAUUCCUGUACUUUUUAUUACUGCGAUGGAGGGACGGAGUAGGCUAGGCCAGUGCGGCGUUGGUAGUCCGUAUGAAAGCUUGUAGGCAAGCGACUUAGGUAAAUCCGGGUUGCUCUCUUUAAUGAGAAUGCUGAGAGGUGAUGACCAGUUCUUUAUUGAACUAGGUGGUUGGUGCCAUGCUUCCAAGAAAAGCUUCUAAGCUUCAGGUAAUAAAGAACCGUACUGUAA